CAGAAGAUAGUUUAUAUUUAAAAUAUUAAUUUUGGAGAUUGAUGAUAAGAGUGUUCUUUCUUCUGA
RNAcentral lists this transfer RNA (66 nucleotides) under Ocellarnaca sp. RNAcentral's name for it is "tRNA-Pro". Lineage: Eukaryota; Metazoa; Arthropoda; Insecta; Orthoptera; Gryllacrididae. The record is from RNAcentral.